This 1109-nucleotide long non-coding RNA is filed under the name Piliocolobus tephrosceles (Ugandan red Colobus). Its description in RNAcentral is "lncRNA (ENSPTEG00000018224.1)". Lineage: Eukaryota; Metazoa; Chordata; Mammalia; Primates; Cercopithecidae. The record is from RNAcentral.
UGGAUAAGAGUGAUCUUAGUUAUUACGCUGAAAGUCCACAUGUACAUAAUAUAGAAAAAAGUAUUCAAAAUUUCGGACGUGCAAAAGAAAUUAUGAUGAUGCUUGAAAAGAAUUUAGAUAUGUUUUAUCAUAAUGAAGACACACCUUUUAAUAAAAAACAUUGUUUCGAUGUGAAUUUUUGGUUAUAUAAUACGAUAAAUGAAAAUUUAACUAAACCAAAAAGCAAUAAGAAAUUAUUUAAAGUACUUGAUAAAUAUCAUAAAGAGUGGGAUGUAAUAAAUCAAUCUAAAGAAAUUGAUAAAGAAAUUAUAUGCGAACCAAAUAGAACUUUAAUAGAUAUAAAAUAUUUAAGGGAGGUUAAACAUUUAUUUGAUUAUUUUGAAAAUUUUGAUUAUGUCAAAGAUGAGGCAAAGAAGAACCCUGAUGAUGCUUGUAAAAUUUUUUAUAAGCCAUUAAAAAAAUUAAUUCCAAUAUUUUUUAGAUGGACAGAUAUAUGUCAACUAGAAGAACCAAAUAUAUGCAAUACACAUAUAUCGAAUCCUGGCAAUUAUACUCCAAGAGCAAUGUUAAAGCAUGUUAAUCUUAUUAGUCUUACCUUUUCAGCCUUGGUGAAUUCAUGCUUUAAACAAGUUAUUGAUUUAGUAAAACAAUCUGAACAGUUGAAACAUAAAACAUAUGUUAUAGUUAGAUAUAAAAAUGAAGCUAAAAUGUUAAAAUUAAUAAAAAAGAAGAGUAGAUCAUUAGCUGAAACAGAUGAUAUGUUAGGAAUACUACAUGGAGAUGAUAAUAGCUGUGGUUUAUUAAGUUAUAUAGUAUGGUUUUUUUACCAAACAUAUUUAUAUAUUAAUGAAAAUAUUAUUUUAGUAAGUGCCUUUAUGCUAGGAAUGUUAUUUGUUUUCGGUAUUUUUUACCAAGUAAAAAAUAUUUCUAAAAAAAAAAAAAAAAAUUAAACACCUUAUUUUAUUUUUGAAAACAUAUUAUCAUAAACAAUAUUAACGAAAAAGAAAAAAAAUAUAUGUAUAUAUAUACAUAUAUAAAUAUAUUUACAACUUUUUUUUUUUUUAUAUUUUUUUUUAUAUAUAUUUUUUUUUUUUUUUUUUUUUAAUUAU